This 107-nucleotide ribosomal RNA is filed under the name Microcebus murinus (gray mouse lemur). The record is from RNAcentral. Lineage: Eukaryota; Metazoa; Chordata; Mammalia; Primates; Cheirogaleidae.
AUCUACAGGCACACCACCCUGAACAUGCCCAAUCUCGUCUGAUAUUGGAAGCUAAACAGGGUUGGGCCUGGUUAGUAAUUGGGUGGGAGAAGCCUUACCUGUUCAUA